GACGAACGCUGGCGGCGUGCUUAACACAUGCAAGUCGAACGGAAAGGCCCUGCUUUUGUGGGGUGCUCGAGUGGCGAACGGGUGAGUAACACGUGAGUAACCUGCCCUUGACUUUGGGAUAACUUCAGGAAACUGGGGCUAAUACCGGAUAGGAGCUCCUGCUGCAUGGUGGGGGUUGGAAAGUUUCGGCGGUUGGGGAUGGACUCGCGGCUUAUCAGCUUGUUGGUGGGGUAGUGGCUUACCAAGGCUUGGACGGGUAGCCGGCCUGGGAGGGUGACCGGCCACAUUGGGACUGAGAUACGGCCCAGACUCCUACGGGAGGCAGCAGUGGGGAAUAUUGCACAAUGGGCGGAAGCCUGAUGCAGCAACGCCGCGUGCGGGAUGACGGCCUUCGGGUUGUAAACCGCUUUCGCCUGUGACGAAGCGUGAGUGACGGUAAUGGGUAAAGAAGCACCGGCUAACUACGUG
This 468-nucleotide ribosomal RNA is filed under the name uncultured bacterium. RNAcentral's name for it is "partial 16S ribosomal RNA". It matches the Rfam family "Bacterial small subunit ribosomal RNA", at positions 28 to 507 of the family's 1533-position model. The record is from RNAcentral.